RNAcentral lists this ribosomal RNA (492 nucleotides) under uncultured bacterium. RNAcentral describes it as "partial 16S ribosomal RNA". It matches the Rfam family "Bacterial small subunit ribosomal RNA", at positions 29 to 507 of the family's 1533-position model. The record is from RNAcentral.
AGUGAACGCUGGCGGUAGGCCUAACACAUGCAAGUCGAACGGCAGCACAGUAAGAGCUUGCUCUUACGGGUGGCGAGUGGCGGACGGGUGGGGAAUACAUCGGAAUCUACUUUUUCGUGGGGGAUAACGUAGGGAAACUUACGCUAAUACCGCAUACGACCUACGGGUGAAAGCAGGGGAUCUUCGGACCUUGCGCGAUUGAAUGAGCCGAUGUCGGAUUAGCUAGUUGGCGGGGUAAAGGCCCACCAAGGCGACGAUCCGUAGCUGGUCUGAGAGGAUGAUCGGCCACACUGGAACUGAGACACGGUCCAGACUCCUACGGGAGGCAGCAGUGGGGAAUAUUGGACAAUGGGCGCAAGUCUGAUCCAGCCAUACCGCGUGGGUGAAGAAGGCCUUCGGGUUGUAAAGCCCUUUUGUUGGGAAAGAAAAGCAGCAGGUUAAUACCCCGCUGUUCUGACGGUACCCAAAGAAUAAGCACCGGCUAACUUCGUG